RNAcentral lists this ribosomal RNA (301 nucleotides) under uncultured bacterium. Its description in RNAcentral is "partial 16S ribosomal RNA". It matches the Rfam family "Bacterial small subunit ribosomal RNA", at positions 509 to 807 of the family's 1533-position model. The record is from RNAcentral.
CAGUCGCCGCGGGAAUACGAAGGGGGCUAGCGUUGCUCGGAAUGACUGGGCGUAAAGGGCGCGUAGGCGGAUUGCGCAGUCAGAUGUGAAAUUCCUGGGCUUAACCUGGGGGCUGCAUUUGAGACGCGUAGUCUAGAGUGUGAAAGAGGGUCGUGGAAUUCCCAGUGUAGAGGUGAAAUUCGUAGAUAUUGGGAAGAACACCGGUGGCGAAGGCGGCGACCUGGUUCAUAACUGACGCUGAGGCGCGAAAGCGUGGGGAGCAAACAGGAUUAGAUACCCGAGUAGUCCCUGUCUCUUAUAC